GUGGGGAAUCUUGCGCAAUGGGCGAAAGCCUGACGCAGCCAUGCCGCGUGAAUGAUGAAGGUCUUAGGAUUGUAAAAUUCUUUCACCGGGGACGAUAAUGGCGGUACCCGGAGAAGAAGCCCCGGCUAACUUCGUGCCAGCAGCCGCGGUAAUACGAAGGGGGCUAGCGUUGCUCGGAAUUACUGGGCGUAAAGGGCGCGUAGGCGGACAGUUUAGUCAGAGGUGAAAGCCCAGGGCUCAACCUUGGAAUUGCCUUUGAUACUGGCUGUCUUGAGUACGGGAGAGGUGAGUGGAACUCCGAGUGUAGAGGUGAAAUUCGUAGAUAUUCGGAAGAACACCAGUGGCGAAGGCGACUCACUGGCCCGUUACUGACGCUGAGGCGCGAAAGCGUGGGGAGCAAACAGGAUUAGAAACCCUGGUAGUCC
This 425-nucleotide ribosomal RNA is filed under the name uncultured bacterium. RNAcentral describes it as "partial 16S ribosomal RNA". It matches the Rfam family "Bacterial small subunit ribosomal RNA", at positions 354 to 796 of the family's 1533-position model. The record is from RNAcentral.